UGCGUAGGUGGCAGAACAAGUCUGGAGUAAAAGGUAUGGGCUCAACCCGUACUGGCUCUGGAAACUGUUCAGCUAGAGAACAGAAGAGGACGGCGGAACUCCAUGUGUAGCGGUAAAAUGCGUAGAUAUAUGGAAGAGCACCGGUGGCGAAGGCGGCCGUCUGGUCUGUUGCUGACACUGAAGCACGAAAGCGUGGGGAGCAAAUA
This 206-nucleotide ribosomal RNA is filed under the name uncultured bacterium. RNAcentral describes it as "partial 16S ribosomal RNA". It matches the Rfam family "Bacterial small subunit ribosomal RNA", at positions 568 to 774 of the family's 1533-position model. The record is from RNAcentral.